Molecule: ribosomal RNA, 497 nt
Filed under: uncultured bacterium
Lineage: Bacteria
Description: partial 16S ribosomal RNA
Rfam family: Bacterial small subunit ribosomal RNA
Source: RNAcentral
GAUGAACGCUGGCGGCGUGCCUAAUACAUGCAAGUCGAGCGAACAGACGAGGAGCUUGCUCCUUUGACGUUAGCGGCGGACGGGUGAGUAACACGUAGGUAACCUACCUAUAAGACUGGGAUAACUUCGGGAAACCGGAGCUAAUACCGGAUAAUAUUUCGAACCGCAUGGUUCGAUAGUUAAAGAUGGCUUUGCUAUCACUUAUAGAUGGACCUUCGCCGUAUUAGCUAGUUGGUAAGGUAACGGCUUACCAAGGCAACGAUACGUAGCCGACCUGAGAGGGUGAUCGGCCACACUGGAACUGAGACACGGUCCAGACUCCUACGGGAGGCAGCAGUAGGGAAUCUUCCGCAAUGGGCGAAAGCCUGACGGAGCAACGCCGCGUGAGUGAUGAAGGUCUUCGGAUCGUAAAACUCUGUUAUUAGGGAAGAACAAACGUGUAAGUAACUGUGCACGUCUUGACGGUACCUAAUCAGAAAGCCACGGCUAACUACGUG